RNAcentral lists this ribosomal RNA (605 nucleotides) under uncultured bacterium. Its description in RNAcentral is "bacterial SSU rRNA". It matches the Rfam family "Bacterial small subunit ribosomal RNA", at positions 80 to 677 of the family's 1533-position model. The record is from RNAcentral.
UGCUUCUCUUUGAGAGCGGCGGACGGGUGAGUAAUGCCUAGGAAUCUGCCUGGUAGUGGGGGAUAACGUCCGGAAACGGACGCUAAUACCGCAUACGUCCUACGGGAGAAAGCAGGGGACCUUCGGGCCUUGCGCUAUCAGAUGAGCCUAGGUCGGAUUAGCUAGUUGGUGGGGUAAUGGCUCACCAAGGCGACGAUCCGUAACUGGUCUGAGAGGAUGAUCAGUCACACUGGAACUGAGACACGGUCCAGACUCCUACGGGAGGCAGCAGUGGGGAAUAUUGGACAAUGGGCGAAAGCCUGAUCCAGCCAUGCCGCGUGUGUGAAGAAGGUCUUCGGAUUGUAAAGCACUUUAAGUUGGGAGGAAGGGCAGUAAAUUAAUACUUUGCUGUUUCCGACGUUACCGACAGAAUAAGCACCGGCUAACUCUGUGCCAGCAGCCGCGGUAAUACAGAGGGUGCAAGCGUUAAUCGGAAUUACUGGGCGUAAAAGCGCGCGUAGGUGGUUCGUUAAGUUGGAUGUGAAAUCCCCGGGCUCAACCUGGGAACUGCAUUCAAAUACUGACGAGCUAGAGUAUGGUAGAGGGUGGUGGAAUUUUCCUGUGUA